This is a non-coding RNA of Caenorhabditis elegans, 21 nucleotides long. NCBI's taxonomy places the organism in Eukaryota, Metazoa, Nematoda, Chromadorea, Rhabditida, Rhabditidae. The record is from Ensembl.
UGGUCUGUCUAGAUUCCAAUA